This 146-nucleotide microRNA precursor is filed under the name Marmota monax (woodchuck). The record is from RNAcentral. Lineage: Eukaryota; Metazoa; Chordata; Mammalia; Rodentia; Sciuridae.
GAGAUUUGGAGCCAGGAGGCAUUUCUUUCUUUUCUUUCUCUCUCUCUCUUUCUUUUGUUGUAGGUGGAACCAAUGCCUUUUUUUAAGAGAGAGAGAGAGAGAGAGAGAGAGAGAGAGAGAGAGGAGAGAACUUUUUAACAUUUAUU